AUUGAACGCUGGCGGCAUGCCUUACACAUGCAAGUCGAACGGUAACAGGUUAAGCUGACGAGUGGCGAACGGGUGAGUAAUGUAUCGGAACGUGCCCAGUCGUGGGGGAUAACUACUCGAAAGAGUGGCUAAUACCGCAUACGACCUGAGGGUGAAAGCGGGGGACCGUAAGGCCUCGCGCGAUUGGAGCGGCCGAUAUCAGAUUAGCUAGUUGGUGGGGUAAAAGCCCACCAAGGCGACGAUCUGUAGCUGGUCUGAGAGGACGACCAGCCACACUGGGACUGAGACACGGCCCAGACUCCUACGGGAGGCAGCAGUGGGGAAUUUUGGACAAUGGACGCAAGUCUGAUCCAGCCAUGCCGCGUGCGGGAAGAAGGCCUUCGGGUUGUAAACCGCUUUUGUCAGGGAAGAAACGAGUUUCUCUAAUACAGAGACUUAAUGACGGUACCUGAAGAAUAAGCACCGGCUAACUACGUGCCAGCCGCCGCGGUAA
Molecule: ribosomal RNA, 493 nt
Filed under: uncultured bacterium
Lineage: Bacteria
Description: partial 16S ribosomal RNA
Rfam family: Bacterial small subunit ribosomal RNA
Source: RNAcentral